GAAUAUUCGACAAUGGGCGAAAGCCUGAUCGAGCGACGCCGCGUGUGGGAUGACGCCCUGCGGGGUGUAAACCACUUUUAUAAGGGAGGAAUUUUUGACGUUACCUUAUGAAUAAGGGGCUGCUAACCUCGUGCCAGCAGCAGCGGUAAUACGAGGGCCCCGAGCGUUAUCCGGAAUUAUUGGGCGUAAAGGGUUCGUAGGCGGCGUGUAUUGUCGCGGGUUAAAGCUCCCGGCUCAACCGGGAAAGUGCUCGCGAAACGUACAUGCUAGAGGACGUAAGAGGCAAGCGGAACUCACGGUGUAGGGGUGAAAUCCGUUGAUAUCGUGGGGAACACCAAAGGCGAAGGCAGCUUGCUGGUGCGUUCCUGACGCUGAGGAACGAAAGCGUGGGUAGCGAAUGGG
RNAcentral lists this ribosomal RNA (402 nucleotides) under uncultured bacterium. Its description in RNAcentral is "bacterial SSU rRNA". It matches the Rfam family "Bacterial small subunit ribosomal RNA", at positions 359 to 776 of the family's 1533-position model. The record is from RNAcentral.